UUUUAAUAUUUGUUUGUUCGGGGGA
RNAcentral lists this non-coding RNA (25 nucleotides) under Rattus norvegicus (Norway rat). Lineage: Eukaryota; Metazoa; Chordata; Mammalia; Rodentia; Muridae. The record is from RNAcentral.